UACGUAGGGGGCAAGCGUUGUCCGGAUUUAUUGGGCGUAAAGAGCGUGUAGGCGGCUUUACAGGUCCGUUGUGAAAACUCGAGGCUCAACCUCGAGACGCCGGUGGAAACCGUAAAGCUAGAGUCCGGAAGAGGCGAGUGGAACUCCUGGUGUAGCGGUGGAAUGCGCAGAUAUCAGGAAGAACACCAACGGCGAAGGCAGCUCGCUGGGACGGUACUGACGCUGAGACGCGAAAGCGUGGGGAGCGAACAGG
RNAcentral lists this ribosomal RNA (253 nucleotides) under uncultured bacterium. Its description in RNAcentral is "partial 16S ribosomal RNA". It matches the Rfam family "Bacterial small subunit ribosomal RNA", at positions 524 to 776 of the family's 1533-position model. The record is from RNAcentral.